This 405-nucleotide ribosomal RNA is filed under the name uncultured bacterium. RNAcentral describes it as "partial 16S ribosomal RNA". It matches the Rfam family "Bacterial small subunit ribosomal RNA", at positions 30 to 526 of the family's 1533-position model. The record is from RNAcentral.
AUUGAACGCUAGCGGGAUGCUUUACACAUGCAAGUCGAACGAGAGGCGGACGGGUGAGUAAUAUAUCGGAACGUGCCCAGUAGCGGGGGAUAACUCCCCGAAAGAGUUGCUAAUACCGCCUAAUAUGGGCGCGGCCGAUAUCGGCUUAGCUAGUUGGUGGGGUAAAGGCUCACCAAGGCAACGAUCCGUAGCUGGUUUGAGAGGACGACCAGCCACACUGGGACUGAGACACGGCCCAGACGCCUACGGUAGGCAGCAGGGGGGAAUUUUGGACAAUGGGGGAAACCCUGAUCCAGCCAUCCCGCGUGUAUGAGAAGGCCUUCGGGUUGUAAAGUACUUUUGGCAGAGAAGCGGUAUCUGCAGAAUAAGCACCGGCUAACUACGUGCCAGCAGCCGCGGUAAUAC